Molecule: long non-coding RNA, 819 nt
Organism: Monodelphis domestica (gray short-tailed opossum)
Lineage: Eukaryota; Metazoa; Chordata; Mammalia; Didelphimorphia; Didelphidae
Source: Ensembl
ACCAUACAAAUACCAGCUAUUACUAUUCCAGGAGGUUCGGGGGUGGGGCAUUUCGGCAAAGGGGACCCCUACCCACAUUCUUUAGGAACAGGAAGGACGGCUGUCUCUCCUAGAAUAGUAAAUUGGACCCUCACUCCCUUCCUCUUCUUAGUUUCAGUUUCCAGGGAAUGGAGAGACCAGAGCAGCCCCUGCCCCAAGGCUCGGCCCAGCCCGGGAAGAAGGGGAGGGGGUGCGGCCGCAGCCCCGGCUUCAGUCAUCUUAGGAAGUGAGGAGCGCCUCAGCCUCGCACCUGUCCCAGUCCCUGGCCAGUCACCUGUCCUCCCGGACGGUCCUUCCCGCGCUGCCUCCGCUGAGCCUCGCCUCGCGCCGUACCCCCAGCCGGCCCAGUUGCCAGAUGCUGCCACUGGCGCAGCCACCACCCGAGCGAGAAAGCACCGGGUCCCCAGUUGGCGACUCUCACAGCAAAAUGGCGGAUCCGUGUGCGUGAGCGGCGCUGGCUCAGCUAGCGGAGACCCGGGGGCGGGGCCAGGGAGCGAGGGGGCUCCGCCCCCAACGCCGGCCCUAGACAGUCCGCGAGCCUGGGGAACUCCACAAUCUUCACCUAGAACUGAAAAGGACAAUGGAAAUAGAUCAAACCUCAUGUUUCUUGGUACCACAGAGACUAACUGAACCACCCAGCUCCAAAGCCAAAGAUGAAAGAAAGAAGGUGGAGGAGAGGAAUUGUGCUCUUUGUGGUUCUUGUAGCCCUGUCACUCACACCUGUGCUACAAGGGAAGACUUGACUGAUACACUACAGUGAUAUGUUUAAAAUUGUACAUG